GCAUGCGCAGACAGAGUCCGCAAGCAGCGGGCCUUGACCUUUCGGGAAAAAAAACUCUUUCUCACGGACGGUGACAGCGAAACGGAUAACAGUCUUCAGUACCUGCUGGACUUUGAAGCUCCGAAUUCUGGGACUGUUGGAAAAGAGGCAGCGGCGAGAGGGGAGACCUCGGCUCAUCCAGCUGGAGAGCCUGACCAGGAGGAGUCGAACAUUAACUCAGCUCUUCCAGGGCACCCUGCAGACUCGGCUGUUGGCAUCGACGAGGGAUGACGUGAACGCCAAACUGGAGUCCAUCACAGGUCAACUGCAGCUCCUUGUCUCAGAGUAGGAGGGAUUUGAAGCACAAAGGGAGGAACUUGUCGUUUGGUUGGCUGAUAUGGAUGAGGUUGACCAGCUGACAGGAAGCACCAGUGAAAAACUGAAACAACUGCAGGUGUGGGC
Astatotilapia calliptera (eastern happy) is the source of this 441-nucleotide long non-coding RNA. The record is from Ensembl. NCBI's taxonomy places the organism in Eukaryota, Metazoa, Chordata, Actinopteri, Cichliformes, Cichlidae.